AACGUAGGACGCAAGCGUUAUCCGGAGUUACUGGGCGUAAAGCGCGGGCAGGCGGUCUUGCCAGUCUGAUGUGAAAUCUCUCAGCUCAACUGGGAGCAGCCAUUGGAAACUACAAGACUGGAGUCUGACAGAGGUAGGCGGAAUUCCGGGUGGAGUGGUGAAAUGCGUAGAGAUCCGGAGGAACACCAGAGGCGAAGGCGGCUCUCUGGGACGGUACUGACGCUGAGACGCGAAAGCGUGGGGAGCGAACAGG
Molecule: ribosomal RNA, 253 nt
Filed under: uncultured bacterium
Lineage: Bacteria
Description: partial 16S ribosomal RNA
Rfam family: Bacterial small subunit ribosomal RNA
Source: RNAcentral